GCGGAGGCUGAACUAUUUUUCCACCCAUGUCUUUUGCGUACUUGUUGUUUCCUGGGCGGGUUUCGCCCGCCACCAGGACCACAUCAUAAACCUUUUUUUUUUAAAUUGUAAUCCGCGUCAGUACAACAAAUGUUAAAUCAUUUACAACUUUCAACAACGGAUCUCUUGGUUCUGGCAUCGAUGAAAAACGCAGCGAAAUGCGAUACGUAGUGUGAACGCACAUUGCGCCCUUUGGUAUUCCAAAGGGCAUGCCUGUUCAAGCGUCAUUUGUACCCUCAAGCUUUGCUUGGUGUUGGGCGUUUUGUCUUGCCUUGCGGCGAGACUCGCCUUAAAACGAUUGGCAGCCGGCCUACUGGUUUCGGAGCGCAGCACAGCUUUUGCGCUUGCCAACCAGCUAAAGAGGUCAGCAAUCCAUCAAGCCCAUUUCUCACUUUUGACCUCGGAUCAGGUAGGGAUACCCGCUGAACUUAAGCAUAUCAAUAAGCGGAG
RNAcentral lists this ribosomal RNA (489 nucleotides) under Curvularia kusanoi. RNAcentral's name for it is "eukaryotic LSU rRNA". The stretch from base 146 to 266 matches the Rfam family "5.8S ribosomal RNA". The record is from RNAcentral. Lineage: Eukaryota; Fungi; Ascomycota; Dothideomycetes; Pleosporales; Pleosporaceae.